GCUUGAAAGUAUGAUUAUGAUUGUAAGAAUGAUGAUCUAAAUAAGAACGAAUUCAUGUAGGAUCGAAAGAAGAAGGAGCUAGUUCCGGAUCACAAACAAAGUCACAAGAUCGAGGUAAAGCACAAGCUUAAUUGUCGUUGCGUCGCUCGGAUAUGAACACACCUUGAUCACCCGUGAUGCGCUUCCGCAAUUUUUGUAGUAACCUUAUUAGUCAAAGACUUUUGUCUAAGUUAGUUGUGUUUGGAAGUUUUAUGUUUUAACUAGAUGUUUGUGAAUACUUAAGUAACUUAAACUUGAUGUUGAAACGGUAGUUUA
Helianthus annuus (common sunflower) is the source of this 315-nucleotide long non-coding RNA. RefSeq lists it as uncharacterized. NCBI's taxonomy places the organism in Eukaryota, Viridiplantae, Streptophyta, Magnoliopsida, Asterales, Asteraceae. The transcript has 2 exons. The record is from RefSeq and is a predicted model, not a curated record.